This 354-nucleotide ribosomal RNA is filed under the name uncultured bacterium. Its description in RNAcentral is "partial 16S ribosomal RNA". It matches the Rfam family "Bacterial small subunit ribosomal RNA", at positions 338 to 709 of the family's 1533-position model. The record is from RNAcentral.
CCUACGGGUGGCAGCAGUAGGGGAUAUUGCACAAUGGGGGAAACCCUGAUGCAGCGACGCCGCGUGAGUGAAGAAGUAUUUCGGUAUGUAAAGCUCUAUCAGCAGGGAAGAAAAUGACAGUACCUGACCAAGAAGCCCCGGCUAACUACGUGCCAGCAGCCGCGGUAAUACGUAGGGGGCAAGCGUUAUCCGGAUUUACUGGGUGUAAAGGGUGCGUAGGCGGGUAUGUAAGUCUGGAGUGAAAGCCCGUGGCGCAACCCCGGGACUGCUUUGGAAACUGUGUAACUGGAGUAUAGGAGGGGUAGGCGGAAUUCCUGGUGUAGCGGUAAAAUGCGUAGAUAUCAGGAGGAACAC